AGUGAACGCUGGCGGUAGGCCUAAGACAUGCCAGUCGAACGGCAGCACAGUAAGAGCUUGCUCUUACGGGUGGCGAGUGGCGGACGGGUGAGGAAUACAUCGGAAUCUACUUUUUCGUGGGGGAUAACGUAGGGAAACUUACGCUAAUACCGCAUACGACCUACGGGUGAAAGCAGGGGAUCUUCGGACCUUGCGCGAUUGAAUGAGCCGAUGUCGGAUUAGCUAGUUGGCGGGGUAAAGGCCCACCAAGGCGACGAUCCGUAGCUGGUCUGAGAGGAUGAUCAGCCACACUGGAACUGAGACACGGUCCAGACUCCUACGGGAGGCAGCAGUGGGGAAUAUUGGACAAUGGGCGCAAGCCUGAUCCAGCCAUACCGCGUGGGUGAAGAAGGCCUUCGGGUUGUAAAGCCCUUUUGUUGGGAAAGAAAAGCAGCAGGUUAAUACCCCGCUGUUCUGACGGUACCCAAAGAAUAAGCACCGGCUAACUUCGUG
RNAcentral lists this ribosomal RNA (492 nucleotides) under uncultured bacterium. RNAcentral's name for it is "partial 16S ribosomal RNA". It matches the Rfam family "Bacterial small subunit ribosomal RNA", at positions 29 to 507 of the family's 1533-position model. The record is from RNAcentral.